RNAcentral lists this ribosomal RNA (468 nucleotides) under uncultured bacterium. RNAcentral's name for it is "partial 16S ribosomal RNA". It matches the Rfam family "Bacterial small subunit ribosomal RNA", at positions 28 to 507 of the family's 1533-position model. The record is from RNAcentral.
GACGAACGCUGGCGGCGUGCUUAACACAUGCAAGUCGAACGGAAAGGCCCUGCUUUUGUGGGGUGCUCGAGUGGCGAACGGGUGAGUAACACGUGAGUAACCUGCCCUUGACUUUGGGAUAACUUCAGGAAACUGGGGCUAAUACCGGAUAGGAGCUCCUGCUGCAUGGUGGGGGUUGGAAAGUUUCGGCGGUUGGGGAUGGACUCGCGGCUUAUCAGCUUGUUGGUGGGGUAGUGGCUUACCAAGGCUUUGACGGGUAGCCGGCCUGAGAGGGUGACCGGCCACAAUGGGACUGAGAUACGGACCAGACUCCUACGGGAGGCAGCAGUGGGGAAUAUUGCACAAUGGGCGGAAGCCUGAUGCAGCAACGCCGCGUGUGGGAUGACGGCCUUCGGGUUGUAAACCGCUUUCGCCUGUGACGAAGCGUGAGUGACGGUAAUGGGUAAAGAAGCACCGGCUAACUACGUG